This 274-nucleotide ribosomal RNA is filed under the name uncultured bacterium. RNAcentral describes it as "partial 16S ribosomal RNA". It matches the Rfam family "Bacterial small subunit ribosomal RNA", at positions 523 to 796 of the family's 1533-position model. The record is from RNAcentral.
AUACGGAGGGUGCGAGCGUUAUCCGGAUUUAUUAGGUUUAAAGGGUGUGUAGGCGGGAGCCUAAGUCAGUGGUGAAAUCUCACAGCUUAACUGUGAAACUGCCAUUGAAACUGGGUUUCUUGAGUAUAGUUGAGGUAGGCGGAAUGUGUAAUGUAGCGGUGAAAUGCAUAGAUAUUACACAGAACACCGAUUGCGAAGGCAGCUUACUAAGCUAUUACUGACGCUGAUGCACGAAAGCGUGGGUAGCGAACAGGAUUAGAAACCCCGGUAGUCC